UACGAAGGGGGCUAGCGUUGUUCGGAAUUACUGGGCGUAAAGCGUGCGCAGGCGGUUUUGUAAGUCUGUCGUGAAAUCCCCGGGCUCAACCUGGGAAUUGCGAUGGAGACUGCAAGGCUAGAAUCUGGCAGAGGGGGGUAGAAUUCCACGUGUAGCAGUGAAAUGCGUAGAGAUGUGGAGGAACACCGAUGGCGAAGGCAGCCCCCUGGGUCAAGAUUGACGCUCAUGCACGAAAGCGUGGGGAGCAAACAGG
Molecule: ribosomal RNA, 253 nt
Filed under: uncultured bacterium
Lineage: Bacteria
Description: partial 16S ribosomal RNA
Rfam family: Bacterial small subunit ribosomal RNA
Source: RNAcentral